Molecule: long non-coding RNA, 5620 nt
Organism: Astatotilapia calliptera (eastern happy)
Lineage: Eukaryota; Metazoa; Chordata; Actinopteri; Cichliformes; Cichlidae
Source: Ensembl
UUCCUUUGAAGCUCCCUGAACUGGUGCGUUCACUCUCUCUUGCUCCCUCCUUUUCUCUUGUUCCCACCCUCCUUUUCUCCAUGAAACGCACGCUGUAAUACCCAGUCACUCACAGACACAGAGGGCGAGAGACACAGGAACAGAAUACUGGACAUGCUACUGGAGCAGGAUUUUUCUUUUUGUUUGCCUUAAAUGAAAAAGGAGCUUGAAAGAGACAUUCUACUAACCAGAUCUGCCAAAUUCUGACGGCUGACCGGCACAGGCGUACAGAGAAGACUGCGGCAGCCUCCGCCACCUCGGUCAGCUGGAGCUUGCUACACUCGCUGCUGCACACCGCCGCCAUCUUGUUACUGCCUGUGCUACUGGUCUGCCUGCCUUUGCUGCACUCAAACCAAAUCAUCAAACUCAGCCUGCGGUUGUUUCCAUGCCACUCCUGUUUGUGCGCAGCUUUGUCACAACGCAGUGCUGCGCACCAGCUACCGGACGUUGCUGCACAGAAGCACCUGGAACUUUUAUCUGGGUGUUUCUUUAAUAGCUGCCACAGAUUGGAUGCUGCAGACGGUGUUGUCAGCAUCUCUCAAACCAUCAGUAAGAUCUGUACCAUUGUAACACACACUAUGCCCGAUGUAGAUUUAGCUAAGGACUUGACAUGCCGUACACCAUUAAAACAAGUAAAAAUAAGUGAAAUGUUAUUUUACAAAUUUACAAAUGAUUCAAAGUGGCAUGUCUUCUUCGCAGGAUUUAAGAAAAUUGCUCCCGUCGAAGAAAAUCAAUAACCACAAUCUGUCCCUUAUUCUGUGUAUAUAUUUCUCUCCAGAGCCCAUAUGCCUGAGCACAUAUACUGUAUAUGCUAUCUUUGUGAGCUUGUGUGCUGUAAAGAGAGGGUGGGAAAGAGAAAGGAGGGGAGUGAGAGAGAAAGAGAGGAAUCAAGCGUCGGUAAGAAAGUCUUCCUAAUUCUGUUUGGCAGAAACUGUGCUGUUUAACCAUAUGUGCAGAGAGCAGGCUUUGCACAUGCUCAGAAUGACUCAGAGGACACGACUUUCACAUGUCUCAACGCAAUUAGAUUAACUAAUAGAUAAUUUUCCAGCAAAUAUAAAUAAGUUACAGUGAAGUCAUAAAUAAUUUAAAAAGUGUGCACUCUACCUUGAAUUAUUUUUGUUGUACUCACAGUAUGAGGUUAAAACAUGGGCAUUAGAAGGAGAGCGGGAUACAAACACAGCAAGUAUAUUCCAGCUUAUGGAAAUCUUAUUCCUGCAUUUAACUGUGCUUUGGUGCAAAACAAGUGGAAGUGUGUAGGUGGAGGCCACAGUGAUACAGCAGUGAGUUCAGAAGGUCUUCAAUCCUCUAAGACUAUAUGCCAAGAAGACACCAUGCUAAUGAAAUCAUAAAGACGGUGAAGAAAACAAGCUGUCCCUGGAGAAUACAUCCAUGCAUCGGAGGUUGCCAGUUUUACUUUACUUGCUUCUGGGUAUGCAUGUACUGUAGCUUUGCAGUGAUACUGUAUUUAUAAGGUCAAAGGCUGCUUUGCUUCAGGGUUAAAAUGCUCUCAGCCUUUAUCUUAUGAUUACCUUCAUCAGGUCAGUGAAGAUCACCCUUUGCCCCACCAGCUGAGUGGGACAGCGGGUUACAAGAGGUAUGCAAAUCACAGUAAUAUUUAUUAUGUAUAACAAGGAAGAAAAUGUAAAAAAGAAGAAGAGUUUAAAUCACUGCUGAUAUUCCUAUGAAAUACAGGGUACAAUUAGAAUGAGAUAGAAAUGAUCAAGAUGCAAUUAACGUUCAUACUUUAAAUAUUGGACAGAAAUAUGACGUUGAAUAAUUUUGGCCACUUUUAUACACAGUCCGCCAUCUUUAGGUGCUUAAAUGCAGUCGAACGAACGCUCGUUAUAAGUUGGGGGCGGUUACAGUUACAGAACCAGCAGUUCUGGCCUAUUCAGAGAGCUCAGGUGGUGGAGCAGGUGGUGGAGCAGGUUUGGGCAGGACACUGAACCCCUAGUUGCUCUCGAUGGCAGAUGAGCUGUCUGAACACGUGUGGCCUAUAAAUGCCGAUCGUCUAAAAUUUGUACUUUUAAUACUUUGUCAGGAAUCAUUUGCGGGCAGUCUGAUUUCUGAAACCUUCGGAUAUUAAUGCUUCUGCGUUUCUGCAGUUGUUUGUUUACGCGUCUUGUUAUCAGGGAGUGAAAUUCAUACUCAGUCAGACUGAGAUUGGCCGAGAAAGUUAAAUUGUCUGCAUCAUGGUUGACUAUAAUCAAUGCUGACAUUGCUUGUUGUCCUCAUUGUGUAAGGACGGAAUCAUUAGAAACACCAAGUAACAGCGUAUUACGUAGAGAGCAAAGAAUUCGUAGUUUAUCGAGCUACCAGGUCUCACGCAGAGUUAACUUUGAAUUGAUGAUUAAAAGCAAACAAUAGUCAACUGAUAGUUUUCAUGAAUGUUAUUAAUCUAGUUUAAAAUUUCAAAUUCAGUUGGAGUUUCAGAGACUUCAGAGCAGAUCGCUGAAACAAUACCGAAGCAAUAUUGCUGCAUUUUAAAUCCGUCCGUCCAAGUCAUCUUUAGGCAAAAUGCAGGAUAUACUGUGGACUCAUUACCAGUCUAUCACGUGGCUAAUACAGAACACUUGCAGUCCAUCAGCUAAGAAUGGCUGCAUGAUUAAAUCCCAUUUAGAGGAAUUAUUCACUGUCAAAAAGUCCAAUUUAUGCAGAAAGCACAUAAGAGCAAAUAUGAAUUUCUUACUGGAAGGUAAGCUCCAUACUGGAACAUCACAAUACAAGUUCAGAGAGCCUGUCCAAUGAAAUAAUUCAUUAUAAUCCAAAGUGAGCCUUCAUCAGCCUGGGAGUUGUCCUGCUAUGUUUUUAUGAUCCAGUUAACAGAAAUAAAGCCCUCAACUCUCCGGCUUGAGUAAUGACGUAAGCAGUUAACGAUUGGAAGAAUUUCUUUUUGGACAAGAGCGGAGGACGUUGAUCAUUCAGGGUCAACAAUGAGCGCCUCAUUUGUUCUUUUUUUCCCCAUUUGUAGUAUAAAUAGAAGCAGUUCAGCCUUCAGUGGAGAGUUUGUGGAGCAUACUUACUGAGUGUCGAAUGCAAAGAUGUUGCAUUCUUUAUUAUUCCAUAUCAACUGUCCUGGAAUCCGUUACACCAUUUCCCAGAAUUGCAGUCCAAAAAGUAUGUAAAUCCCAGCUGGGAAUGGGUGUAGAAUCCCAAGGUUUGUGCACGUGACAUGAACUAUUCAUUCUUCUUCUUUUUCUGUCAAAGCAUGACUUCUUAAAAAGAGUUACAGGUGUAUCUGGGCCCACCUUCUUGUUACAUAUAUAUAAUGCACAGCUGUCAAAAGUAAAUAAAGUAGAAAUCACAAACGUCCUUUGUUAGGUGUUCACAUUUAAUUGCUCCUUCAGAAAUAAAUGCAAAAUCUUUGGAAAACAGGAUAAUCUGCUAACAAGUGCCAUUUCCUUACCCAGAGGACCCAUACUUGAGACUUUGUUUCUCCCAGAAUACAAUGUUUCCUCAUUUUCAGUGAGGAACCAACCAAAAACCAAAAGGUUUUGACAUUCAUUGUUCUCCCAGAAGAUGCAUCUGCAGGCAAUCCCUAACUUUCUCCUCUAGUGCUACCAGCACAAUGAUGUACAGGUGUAUGUGGUUUUAAAAUUCAUAAGUCACCAAAUACUGGAUGGAUUUCCAUUAAAGUUUGUGCCGAUAUUCAUAUCCUUCAGUGUACCUGUCUGCAUUUUUUUAAAAAGUGUCCUGUGUUCCAGUAUUUUGGCUUGCGAUUAAACAACUGCAAAGCUAGUGAUUUGCUGCAUUACUUACAUAUUGCAGUCAUGAAUAAGAGAAGAGACUAGUCUUUCCUGGUAGACUGCAGUGAAUUAUCUUCACAGCAGCAGAGUAGACAUAGAUUGCAUGACAUGGUGCAGUUUGCACAUGGAAUGCAGAAAGAUUUCAGGCACUGAGUGAUGAAGGCCAGAUGUUUGAGUUAUGCAUAGGAAGUCAGUGGCCUACAGUUGGUACUGUAUGAAGCGAUGAUGCCAGAAACCAUCGCCGGCAUAUACCAUGUAAUUAAAUUUAAGGAAGCCCACUCACAUAUUACAGCUUGUAUAUAAAAGCAAUACAUGUUCCAGGUUUGAAAAAAACAGACAUCAAAAAACAUUACAUAAACACAAGUGCCUAAAUAAAAAUAGAAACGGUAUAUGAGUAAGAGGUGUUGCUUAUGAUUCACCUGGUUACAGUUUGCAUAGCAACUAAUUCUAGUUUUUUUAUAUAUAUAUAUAUAUAUAAAGUUUUGCUCAAAAAUAAAAAAUAAAGAAAAGCUUAAGAGUCUGAGAGGUUGUUGUGAAUGUUGUGGAUUUAAUGAUUGGUCAAAAAUAAAUAAAACAUAAAUAUAAGCGAGGUCAUUAUAUCGAUAUCUUCAAUUUUGUCCUUCAUUUGUAGAUGUUACGGAAAUUAAUCUUUUUAAACUUGGAGAAAAGAAACAAGUUCAAAAGAGGACUUGUUUACCAGAAAAUAUUCCUUGCACAUUGAUUUGCAGCACGCAGUGUGGUUACAUUAUUAAACUAUAGACACCCAGCAAUGGUAAAUAUAUACUGAAACUUACCUCCUCCUCCUAUAGACGGUUUUCUCUUGUUCUUUCUCCCUCCUUUUUGUCUCGUCUUGCACACAGUUACACAUGCACACUCCCAGCCUGUCUGCGUCUCACACUCAAACACGCACACACACACACACGCACACACACGCACCGUCUUUUGUUUGGAGUCAGACGGCAUUGAAGGCAGAUCCUGUGGCCCUUCUGAGGAGAAUGUUAAUAUGCCCGCUCUGGUCUCUCUGGGGACGCAGAGAAUGGACUCGGGCUGCUAAUGCACUGUCACACUAACCCCGCUAAGUAUUCUCACAGUUAGCAACAGCAGCGCUGCUCCCAGAACUGAAAUGUAUUUAACUAAACUCGCAACCUACUGAAUCGUAAAGACUUACUUUAGAUUGUCCUUUCACAAAUAACUGCCUCAUUUGCCCACCUUUCUGUGCCUGCAAACAGAGAUAUGGCAGGUGGGCUAUUUGUUGAGUGCAGUUAGACUUAUUUCACUUUCAUUAGCACUUUAUUUAUGUGGACUCAUUAGGGGCAGUUUGCUCCCCCACACUGAGGUAGGCUUAAUGGAUUAUACUAACGACCUACACAAGCACACGGUAUUCAGUUACAUGUAGAGUUUAAACAAGUCAAAUUAUCUUUAAAGAGUUUGGGCUCGGUAUCGUUUUUGCUAACUUUGGCUAAAGGAUGUAUUUUUGCUUGUGGUUCAGUGAAAUCCUGCUAUUCGAACUGUGGUCACCUGAGUGGAAGGAAAAUGUUCCCCACUUACCAAACUGGUGUGAGGAGUAACUAUGUUUUCAUUUAUGUCAUGAAUAAAAUAAAACUAUUUUUGCUAUUUAAGAGCAUUAAAAAUGAAAAAUAAAUUAAUAACAUUUACUUCAUGUUGUAUAUUGGCUGUGGUCAUUGUGUCCAUGUGCUGAGCCUGUGGAUCACAGUUGCAUGCAGUAAUAGUCAAAGGAUAUUUAAGGUAUUACUAUAUAAACUAUGUAUUAUCAUGGAUUAAAUAUAUUAUAUAAGACAUUUUAUUUUGUGAGCAGUGUUUUCCUUUGAUAAUGC